GACGAACGCUGGCGGCGUGCCUAAUACAUGCAAGUCGAGCGCAGGAAAUCGACGGAACCCUUCGGGGGGAAGUCGACGGAAUGAGCGGCGGACGGGUGAGUAACACGUAAAGAACCUGCCCUCAGGCCUGGGAUAACCACGAGAAAUCGGGGCUAAUACCGGAUGGGUCAUCGGACCGCAUGGUCCGAGGAUGAAAGGCGCUUCGGCGUCGCCUGGGGAUGGCUUUGCGGUGCAUUAGCUAGUUGGUGGGGUAAUGGCCCACCAAGGCGACGAUGCAUAGCCGACCUGAGAGGGUGAUCGGCCACACUGGGACUGAGACACGGCCCAGACUCCUACGGGAGGCAGCAGUAGGGAAUCUUCCACAAUGGACGAAAGUCUGAUGGAGCAACGCCGCGUGAACGAUGAAGGCCUUCGGGUCGUAAAGUUCCGUUGUAAGGGAAGAACAAGUGCCGCAGGCAAUGGCGGCACCUUGACGGUACCUUGCGAGAAAGCCACGGCUAACUACGUGCCAGCCGCCGCGGUAA
Molecule: ribosomal RNA, 524 nt
Filed under: uncultured bacterium
Lineage: Bacteria
Description: partial 16S ribosomal RNA
Rfam family: Bacterial small subunit ribosomal RNA
Source: RNAcentral